Drosophila suzukii is the source of this 2759-nucleotide non-coding RNA. NCBI's taxonomy places the organism in Eukaryota, Metazoa, Arthropoda, Insecta, Diptera, Drosophilidae. The record is from RefSeq and is a predicted model, not a curated record.
AAAUAUAUGGCUGUGGGCCUAAAGCCGGCCUCGGAGUGCUUAAAAAUUCAACUUUUAGCCACGUCCGUCCAUGAUGGGUGCGUGGCAGACGCCGAAUUCCCACAAUUAAGUCGAACGCCCACGAACUUGCCGACCGCCAUGUCGCCGUCUCCAGGUCUAGGACUCAGGCCUGGGCCCUGGCCCUGUCCACGCGGCGUAUGCGCAAUGGGCAGCGCAGCACGGGAUAGGGGAACACGCUCCUCUGGCUCCUCUGCGUGGCAUCUGCGGUAUCCGAACUUAUGCAAAUUUUAAAAGCAUCGAUUAUUUUAUUAUGCCUGUUUGUAUUUGUUGGCCCUAAGUGCCGCAGAGUCAUGGGGAAGGGCAUUCAGCCCCCAACUGCUGCCACGGGCCUUCCCCGAAUCGCUGACCCAAAAAAUAACCCACAUACCCAUUUGCAUGGAAAUUUGUGCCCGGCCUGAUGGAUAGUUCGACUUUGUUCUUUUUUCGUUCUCAGUUCGAAAGCACCCAGGCUCAGUGGGCGCAGGAAGCCAAAUCGAACAGGAAAUCCCCAGAUAUGGGGCAACAGAAGCUCUAAAAUACAGCGCUUUAGGAGAUCUAGCAGAGAAGUCUGCUAUGUUGAGCUGUGCCUGUGUGCGUGCGGGUGUCAUUCCUUUUGUUGGCCGCUGACAGGCAGACAGAUUCCAACCGGAAGUCGCGGGAAGCGGAAGGAAAUGCCUUCGUGGCUGCUUGCCGAGACAGUGUCAAAAGUUUAACUCUAGAUUUAUUUGCCAUUUAAUGCUGCAGCUCCCCCUUGCUUUGUACAGGAGUUAUAGAGGAGUUAUAAAUCUCCCGGCUGUCUAAGCAGGUCAAUGCUCAGGCCAACCUCCCGACGAAGCCGCUGCAUUUGCCUUCUCACGUUGCAGCUGCAGCCCAGUUCACCGCCCCUGUCGACAUUUGGACCAGUGUGAGGUCUGUUUGUUUGCUGCCUGCCACAAAGUUGUCAACGCGGCAACUAAACGAGUUUUGGUCUUGUGGUGUUCUCUAUAGGUAUGUAGUGCGCCUGUGUUUGUUGGUGGGUUUCCUUUGUUGUCCUCCCGCCCGAAAUUCGAAGUUGUUUUCCCCGCCGAGGGCAUGCGCAAGGAGAGUAACAUACGAGAUGAGAGAGCGAGUGGUACAACAUCUCGAAGUAUAAGAGAUGGGAGAUGGCGUUGCCACGUAAUUCAAAAUUAUAUAAAAGCCGGAUAUAGGCCUAUAUUGUUUUGUUAAAUCGUGCAACAAAGUAAUAUAAUUGCAUUGAACUAUUUCGAUAACAAUAAACAUGAAUUUUAAUUUCUUUUUUGGAAUUUCACAUAAAGAUUUAAUUUCUCAACAAAAUCUAUGUAUUCAUAAUAACCAGUUUAAACAUCAAAUGUUGAUUUUUUUUUUGAUUGGCAGUAAAAUAUUUUCAAUUUAUAAUAUUUUUUGUGGGCACUAAAAUUAGUUUCUAACAACUUGUACUAGGCAGAACGAAGAAAUAAUAAUCCUUGUAGGUACAAAUUCUGAGAACCCAACUGAAAUAAAUGCCUUAACCUCUCUAAAGAUUUAAAUUAAAGAAUUUAUAAUCAUUAUAUAGUCUUACCAAUAUUAAUUCAAUUAAGUAGUAUUACGCACAUUUACGCCACCUAUAAAACCAUACAAGCAAAAGACACCACCAUGGUUUUUCUCAAAAGACACGGUUAACCUUUCUCUGCAUUAUACAACAAAGGCAAUCACUCCGCCAACAGUAUACCAACAAAAAUUUAUAUCUCUCAAGGAAAACUUUCAUAACUACGGAUUUAUCUACACGGACGGUUCCAAAUCAGCCCAAGGAGUAUCCUAUAGCGUCACGACAGAAACAACAGUAAUUAAAACAGCCAUUCUUCCGACACUCAGCUCAAUUUAUACAGCAGAGGUGGCAGCCAUCUAUGCUGCAUGUAAAUACGCUGACAAGCAAAAGAAAAAAGUGGUUAUCUGCUCUGACUCCCUAUCUGCUGUAACUUCAGUUACCAACACCAAUAACCAAUCUUUCUAUACCGUUCGUAUUCGAGACAUCCUCAACCGCCACCAACCAAAGAUUAUAUUACUGUGGAUUCCAGGCCAUAACAAUAUUCCUGGUAACGACACAGCAGACCUAGCAGCAAAAGAAGCUCACAAAUUCCCACAGGUUAUGGAAUGCAACUAUAACUUUACAGACACACAGUUAUUCAUUAAAAAUACCUUCAAAAAACAAAUGGAAUCGAUCUGGCAAAACGCAUCUAACCACUACAAAUAUUUCAACGAAAAAAAAUUAUCAAUUAAAGAUUACACCAUCCCAUCCGAAGACAACAUCAACCGCAGAGAUCUCACAAAAUUCUUAAGACUACGUUUUGGACACACAAGAUACACCCAUGAGCAUGUUCUCAAUAAACAACCCCCACCCCAGUGCGAGCACUGCAGUACGCGAAACAACGUGCGGCACUUUUUCCUAGAGUGUCCAGUUCAUGAAACUUCAAGAAGCAACACCCUCUCCAUAAAGUCACCUGAUGCCCUAUCCCCAAAAUCCACCAAUAUCGCCAGCGCCAAUGUUUUCAUCAAGGCCAUACGCUUAUAUAACAAUAUAUAAAUUUUGUAAAUAACCAUAUAUAAAUACACUUUCUCAGAAAAUAUGUAAAUAACAUCCUCCUAGCUUAAGGCCCAGUAGCUAUAGCUAAAUUAAGUGGUUGGUGGCAAUUUGCAAUUGUCCCAAAACCAGAAUAUAAAUAAAUAAAUAAAUAAAUUUGUUA